UACAGAGGUCCCGAGCGUUGUUCGGAUUCAUUGGGCGUAAAGGGUGCGUAGGCGGCGGGGCCAGUCUGAUGUGAAAUCCCGGGGCUCAACCCCGGAACUGCAUUGGAUACUGCCUUGCUAGAGUACUGGAGAGGGAACUGGAAUUUACGGUGUAGCAGUGAAAUGCGUAGAGAUCGUAAGGAAGGCCGGUGGCGAAGGCGAGUUCCUGGACAGUUACUGACGCUGAGGAGCGAAAGCGUGGGGAGCGAACAGG
This 253-nucleotide ribosomal RNA is filed under the name uncultured bacterium. Its description in RNAcentral is "partial 16S ribosomal RNA". It matches the Rfam family "Bacterial small subunit ribosomal RNA", at positions 524 to 776 of the family's 1533-position model. The record is from RNAcentral.